ACGCUCGACACCUACGGGAGGCAGCAGUGGGGAAUAUUGCACAAUGGGGGAAACCCUGAUGCAGCGACGCCGCGUGAAGGAAGAAGUAUUUCGGUAUGUAAACUUCUAUCAGCAGGGAAGAAGAUGACGGUACCUGAGUAAGAAGCACCGGCUAAAUACGUGGCAGCAGCCGCGGUAAUCUGAGCGGGCUGGCAAGGC
This 198-nucleotide ribosomal RNA is filed under the name uncultured bacterium. RNAcentral describes it as "partial 16S ribosomal RNA". It matches the Rfam family "Bacterial small subunit ribosomal RNA", at positions 328 to 539 of the family's 1533-position model. The record is from RNAcentral.